Long non-coding RNA from Panicum virgatum (switchgrass), 709 nucleotides. RefSeq lists it as uncharacterized. The record is from RefSeq and is a predicted model, not a curated record. NCBI's taxonomy places the organism in Eukaryota, Viridiplantae, Streptophyta, Magnoliopsida, Poales, Poaceae. The transcript has 3 exons.
CGGGAAAAAACCUUGCGCGCGCGGGAAGCGGAUAGGGAGCUGCGCGCGGGGGAAAUCGCGGGAUAUACCCCGCGCGGGCACGGCGCACGCCCCUGCGCGGGCGGGAAAUCGAGAGAGGAGGGAAGAGAGGAGGGCGGCGGCCGGACCUGGAAUCCGGCGGCGCGGCCCCUCCAUAGUCCAUCCAGCCACUGGUUCCUCUGCUCUGCCUCCUCACGCGGCUCUGCCCCUCUGCUUCCUCUGCUUCGUUCGCCUGCAGAUCUGCGCUUCCACGACUCACCUCUGCAGCUCUUCCCCUCAAGGAUUCGUGGCUGCUAGCUCUGCUCCAAGGAUUCGUGGCUGCUUGCUCUGCUCCACCUCACGUCAGCUCAGAGUCAGAGCCAUAAGCAUGCCAUGUGAUUGAGUGAUUCUUUUCCUGAUGCCCGAGAUGUAGCUGCAGCUUGCUGUCUGGGGAAAGAAAAGUGAGUUCAGAAUUCAGAUCAUACAAAGGGGAUGCAUGCUACAUGAAACAAGCCAACAAGGGCUGCUGGAUAGAGGAGGAUCAGUGGUACAUGUGCUCCAGAACAGGAACCAAAAAUGUAUGUAUGUGCAUGUUUGUGCUGCCUCUAUUUUAGAUGAGGGUAUGUGUAUGGCGUCGCCUCGCCGCGCGCCUUAUUCGCCUAGGCGUCUGGAAGGGGGUGGGUCGCCGCACCUCGCCUUUCCUCCUUAAAAA